This 241-nucleotide ribosomal RNA is filed under the name uncultured bacterium. RNAcentral describes it as "partial 16S ribosomal RNA". It matches the Rfam family "Bacterial small subunit ribosomal RNA", at positions 114 to 354 of the family's 1533-position model. The record is from RNAcentral.
CGCGUGAGGGAACCUGCCUUCCAGAGGGGGACAACAGUUGGAAACGACUGCUAAUACCGCAUGAUGCGUUGGAGCCGCAUGACUCCGACGUCAAAGAUUUAUCGCUGGAAGAUGGCCUCGCGUCUGAUUAGCUAGUUGGUGAGGUAACGGCCCACCAAGGCGACGAUCAGUAGCCGGACUGAGAGGUUGGCCGGCCACAUUGGGACUGAGACACGGCCCAGACUCCUACGGGAGGCAGCAG